GUGGGGAAUAUUGCACAAUGGGCGAAAGCCUGAUGCAGCAACGCCGCGUGAGCGAUGAAGGCCUUCGGGUCGUAAAGCUCUGUCCUCAAGGAAGAUAAUGACGGUACUUGAGGAGGAAGCCCCGGCUAACUACGUGCCAGCAGCCGCGGUAAUACGUAGGGGGCUAGCGUUAUCCGGAAUUACUGGGCGUAAAGGGUGCGUAGGUGGUUUCUUAAGUCAGAGGUGAAAGGCUACGGCUCAACCGUAGUAAGCCUUUGAAACUGGGAAACUUGAGUGCAGGAGAGGAGAGUGGAAUUCCUAGUGUAGCGGUGAAAUGCGUAGAUAUUAGGAGGAACACCAGUUGCGAAGGCGGCUCUCUGGACUGUAACUGACACUGAGGCACGAAAGCGUGGGGAGCAAACAGGAUUAGAAACCCCUGUAGUCC
This 424-nucleotide ribosomal RNA is filed under the name uncultured bacterium. Its description in RNAcentral is "bacterial SSU rRNA". It matches the Rfam family "Bacterial small subunit ribosomal RNA", at positions 354 to 796 of the family's 1533-position model. The record is from RNAcentral.